AAAGUUUGGAAUUUACUUAUAUAUUUUUGGAAGUUUAGGAUUAAAGGUGAUAUAAAAAUGGAGUUAGAGGACUUUCCUUGCAGUUUUUGAGUAAGUGGAAUUUAUAUUCAACAUUUGACCCAUUUUUCACUCAAAAUCACACACACACACACACACACAGAGUGAGAAAACGGCAGCAAGCUGGGACCGAAAAAGAGAGGAAAAAUUAGGGAAAAAAAUGGAAGAAAAAGGGAAAGAAGGAAGGAAAGAAGAAAAGAGGUAAGGCUAAUUUUUUCAAGCUUGGGUUGAAUUUUUCCAUUUUUUUCAAGUGAUAAAGUAUGAAUUAUGUUAAAAUUCUAGGGUUUUAUUUUGGCUCGAAAUUUUCAGAUUUUUUUGAGAGGAAUACUACUUGGAGCCCAAGUUAUUGAUUCUUGAAUUUCUAUCUACAUUAAG
RNAcentral lists this long non-coding RNA (432 nucleotides) under Olea europaea (common olive). Its description in RNAcentral is "long non-coding RNA (OEUR_LNC004726)". Lineage: Eukaryota; Viridiplantae; Streptophyta; Magnoliopsida; Lamiales; Oleaceae. The record is from RNAcentral.